RNAcentral lists this transfer RNA (88 nucleotides) under Bacteroidales bacterium. RNAcentral describes it as "tRNA-Ser". It matches the Rfam family "tRNA". From Rfam's summary of the family: Transfer RNA (tRNA) molecules are approximately 80 nucleotides in length. Their secondary structure includes four short double-helical elements and three loops (D, anti-codon, and T loops). The record is from RNAcentral. Lineage: Bacteria; Pseudomonadati; Bacteroidota; Bacteroidia; Bacteroidales. RNAcentral also lists the same sequence under 1 other name.
GGAAAGAUGCUCGAGUGGUUGAAGAGGCACGCCUGGAAAGCGUGUAUGCGCCAAAAGCGUAUCCGGGGUUCGAAUCCCCGUCUUUCCG